This 94-nucleotide ribosomal RNA is filed under the name Oxyloma cf. effusa MMC-2020. Its description in RNAcentral is "partial 5.8S ribosomal RNA". It matches the Rfam family "5.8S ribosomal RNA", at positions 58 to 154 of the family's 154-position model. Rfam says of the family: 5.8S ribosomal RNA (5.8S rRNA) is a component of the large subunit of the eukaryotic ribosome. It is transcribed by RNA polymerase I as part of the 45S precursor that also contains 18S and 28S rRNA. RNAcentral also lists the same sequence under 1 other name. Lineage: Eukaryota; Metazoa; Mollusca; Gastropoda; Stylommatophora; Succineidae. The record is from RNAcentral.
AUUAAUGUGAAUUGCAGAACACAUUGAACAUCGACACCUUGAACGCACAUGGCGGCCUCGGGUCCAUCCCGGGGCCACGCCCGUCUGAGGGUCG